Long non-coding RNA from Colias croceus (clouded yellow), 777 nucleotides. RefSeq lists it as uncharacterized. The transcript has 3 exons. NCBI's taxonomy places the organism in Eukaryota, Metazoa, Arthropoda, Insecta, Lepidoptera, Pieridae. The record is from RefSeq and is a predicted model, not a curated record.
AUAAACUACGAAUCUUCAGUUUGACAUUAGUAAUGUUGAAAAAUAUUCCUUAAUUAUACUGCCAAAAAAGUAGAAAGUCAAUAAAUUUACUUAAUUGAAGUGAACUAAAAAAUUAAGGUUUUGCUUUAGAUUAUAAAAAUACAUAUAGAGGUGCGCCAGCCCGGAGCAAUUUUUUGCUCUAAUAGAAUUCAUGGAAAGGUAUCUACUUUAAAAAAAAUACAGUUUUGAUUCCAAACUUACUUCAAUAUUCUUAUAAUAUACAAUGAAAUCAUAUCAAUACCAAGUGCUUCGUUGGUGUGUGUUACCUAUAGGUAUGGUGACCUCAGCGGUCGAGUAAAAGCCGACGAAAUAUGGGCAAGGCUGACAGUCUUACUAAAUUCAAUCGGUGGUGGGGUACCUACAUAAAUCACAAGAUAAGUGGAAGAAAGUACGUUUGAACGACGACUGCGACUGGAUUUGCGACCAUUUUAUUUUUUUUAUAGACCUUAUGUAAAAUAUUUACUGUGUUAUAUGUUAAAAUGUUUUUGAGCGUUUAUUUUAGAUUAAUAUCUUUAUAUUUUAUAGGAUUUAUAAUUAUGUACUUAAUUUAUUUUAAGAGUUUGAUCAUGUUUGAUUUCGUUUUAAGAAUGUUAAAUAAAACAUGUAAUAUGUAUGAUAAGAUGAUAAUAGUAUAUUUUAUUCCUUAAUAAGUUUAUACCACCAUGAAUUCAGUACACACAUUUUUAAAUAUGAACAAAAAAACAAUAACAAAAAUUACAAACUUAAAAAUAUAAAAAA